Molecule: non-coding RNA, 239 nt
Organism: Paramuricea clavata
Lineage: Eukaryota; Metazoa; Cnidaria; Anthozoa; Malacalcyonacea; Plexauridae
Source: the annotation of a GenBank genome assembly
CGAAAAUAUUUUAAUAAGCAAUUUGAAAAACGUAAAAGUAAUCUGAAAGAUACAGUUCAUAGAAAUUAAUUGGUUCUUUGAUUAAACGUAAAACAAAACGGUCAAGUACAGGAUUUUGUUGGAAAUAUCGGGGAGGUGGAAAAAUAUUUAGGGAAGGUGCAGCGAAUUAAUGAGUUAUGACUGUACAACUCAUCCAAUUUUGCCCUUCAUUACAAUGGACCAUUUGCAUUAUAGACUAC